UGGGGAAUUUUGGACAAUGGGCGAAAGCCUGAUCCAGCAAUGCCGCGUGUGUGAAGAAGGCCUUCGGGUUGUAAAGCACUUUUGUCCGGAAAGAAAUCCUUGGCUCUAAUACAGUCGGGGGAUGACGGUACCGGAAGAAUAAGCACCGGCUAACUACGUGCCAGCAGCCGCGGUAAUACGUAGGGUGCAAGCGUUAAUCGGAAUUACUGGGCGUAAAGCGUGCGCAGGCGGUUUGCUAAGACCGAUGUGAAAUCCCCGGGCUCAACCUGGGAACUGCAUUGGUGACUGGCAGGCUAGAGUAUGGCAGAGGGGGGUAGAAUUCCACGUGUAGCAGUGAAAUGCGUAGAGAUGUGGAGGAAUACCGAUGGCGAAGGCAGCCCCCUGGGUCAAUACUGACGCUCAUGCACGAAAGCGUGGGGAGCAAACAGGAUUAGAUACCCUGGUAGUCCACGCCCUAAAACGAUGUCAACUAGUUGUUGGGGAUUCAUUUCCUUAGUAACGUAGCUAACGCGUGAAGUUGACCGCCUGGGGAGUACGGUCGCAAGAUUAAAACUCAAAUGAAUUGACGGGGUCAUGCUGUUUCCU
Molecule: ribosomal RNA, 585 nt
Filed under: uncultured bacterium
Lineage: Bacteria
Description: partial 16S ribosomal RNA
Rfam family: Bacterial small subunit ribosomal RNA
Source: RNAcentral